UGUAAGAAAAAGUUGGCAGGUGACUUGA
This 28-nucleotide non-coding RNA is filed under the name Mus musculus (house mouse). The record is from RNAcentral. Lineage: Eukaryota; Metazoa; Chordata; Mammalia; Rodentia; Muridae.